This 237-nucleotide long non-coding RNA is filed under the name Elaeis guineensis (African oil palm). RNAcentral describes it as "long non-coding RNA (EGUI_LNC079519)". Lineage: Eukaryota; Viridiplantae; Streptophyta; Magnoliopsida; Arecales; Arecaceae. The record is from RNAcentral.
AGGUCUUCGAUCUUCAAGGAGCUCAUCUUUUUCUUGGAGUUCUCAUUUCAAAAGUCAAAAUCUUCAUUCCAGAAGCUCAUAUAUUGCAUGCGUGUAAGGAUAGAGAUUGAGAAAUUCGUCAAAAAUUAUGUGAGCAUCAAUGAUCUAGCAGUUAACUAGAAUCAAAGUAGACUUAUGGGUAGUACAAGUUGUGUUAUAAAGUACAAGCUCAUAUUUAUACUUUGUGUUGCUAGGAAG